UCUCCGUUGGUGAACCAGCGGAGGGAUCAUUACAGAGUUGCAAAACUCUCAAACCAUUGUGAACGUUACCUAUCCCGUUGAUUCGGCGGGCGGCCCGGGCCCUGCGCCCGGCGCCCCCCGGCCCCCCGUGGGCGCCCGCCGGAGGUAAACCAAACCCUUGAAUUGCAUGGCCUCUCUGAGUCUUCUGUACUGAAUAAGUCAAAGCUUUCAACAACGGAUCUCUUGGUUCUG
Molecule: unclassified non-coding RNA, 231 nt
Filed under: plant metagenome
Description: partial contains small subunit ribosomal RNA, internal transcribed spacer 1, and 5.8S ribosomal RNA
Source: RNAcentral